CCCUAGAACAUAUUUGUUAUCUAUCAAUUUAGUCCCUUAUUCUCUUUUAAUCCUAACCUUUGAUCUAGAAAUGUUGUCUCUCUUAGACUGCCAUGUGGCAGCUCUCAGAUCUCUCCCUUCUUCCCUCUCUUCCCGAAACACAUCUCAGAACCUCUCUCUUUUUCUGUUUCUUCUCUCUCUCUCUAACUCUCAAAAACUCUCACACUCUCUAAGCUCCGAGAGCUUCUCUCUAACUUUCACCUCACUUCCUUCACAAAUCAAACCCCAAAAACCAUAUAUUUGGAAUCCUUGAGACCUAACGAACUCAAUGGUACCCUUGCAUGCGCCAUCUGAGCACCGUGGGUUUUUCUGUCAUUGAAGCCGAGAGCUUCAAAGCUCUAAAACUCCAACCCAGGUAAAGAUUGUGUUCCUUCUUCAAAUUUCUGGGAUUAAUCAUGUUAUUUGUGUUGGUUUUAAGGUCAAAAUCGAGGGUUUUGACCUUACCUUUUCUCUAUGCCAAAAACCCGGUUCCGACGACGAACUCCGGCGAGUUCGUAGGUGUGUGUGUGUACAAGUGUAUGUGUGUGUCCGUGUGUGUGUAUGCGAACUGUGGGUGUGUGUGAGCAUGCUGUGCAUGCCGUGUAUACUGUGCGUGUAUGUAUGUGUAUGUGCAAGUGUGUAUGUGCGUGAACCGUGUGUGUGUGUGUGUGUAAGUAUGCAUGAUGUUGUGCGUGUGUGUGAUUAUAUAUAUAUAUGCAUGAUGCUGUGCGUGUGUGUGAUUAUAUAUAUAUAUAUAUAUGCAUGAUGCUGUGCGUGUGUGUGAUUAUAUAUAUAUAUAUAUAUAUGCAAGUGUGUGUGUGCAGCGCAUGCUUAUGCAUGCUCUGUGUGUGUGUGCGUGCAGUGCAUGCUUUGCAUGUGUGUGUGUGUGGGUGAGUAUGGGUUGGGCUCCAACCCAAACCACCUCUUGAUCCUAACCUAUCCAAAUCCAAGGCCCAUUUCCAUUUCCUAGAAUUAUAUUGUUGGGUAGUUUGAUUAACUGUACGUUCUUGUACUUAGGGGCAAUCAUCGCAACGUUUCUGUCUUCGCUAGUGGCGCAGCUUUUGACGGAGUAUUUGUGAGUGGACCACCUUCGAAAAUUGCAUGUUUUAUUGAUAGAAUUGCAUAAUUUAAUAGCAUGCCUUACAGAAUUAUUUGAUUUGAGGAUCGAUGAAAUUAUGCUACGAAGUUGUAUUUUAGAGAUGAAUUAUGUUUUGUGCGUACCUAGUGAACACUAUGCCGCCUGGGGCGAGGAUCUGGUGUUGGCAUUGAGGCCAGGAGAAAUAAUCCCUAGCGAAAGGCUGAGGGACACGGAGACAGGCAUUGGGCCGGGAGGGAGAUAUCUCUGGCUACGGGCACAGAGACUGAGGUGCAGGCAUUGGGCCGGGAGUAUUAUUAUUCAGUGCACUCACUAGCAGCACAACUUGUGUUAUGCUUCCUGACAUGAUUUCUUAUAUGAUUUAUGAUACGAUUUCUGAGAUUGAUUUGCAGAAUGAGAUUGAGUUGCAGAGAGAUAUAUGAAAUUAUUUUUAUGGCAUGCUACAGUUUUCUGAAAAGCUUAUCACUUAUUAUUCUAGUAGUUUUCAUUAUUAAAUUGUGGGGGUUAGUAUGUUCAUAACUGUUUUCGUACUAUGUAUGUAUAUAAACUUGGUCCACUCACCCUUGUUUUGCGCCCCCAUUCAGGACUUAGGAUGAAGGCACAUAACCCCGGCAUCAAGGUACUUCCGCAGCGGCAUCUUCGAGUCCUCUCGGGGUAGGACCCACUCAUUUGUUCAUUCAAUCUUAUCUUAGUUCUUGUUAGUGACUAGGUUUAGUUAUAUGCUCUGAACACGUUCCCAAAUUGUUAAUUCAUUGUUUUUAAAUUCAUAACCUGUAUUUAUUUCUU
RNAcentral lists this long non-coding RNA (1900 nucleotides) under Malus domestica (apple). RNAcentral's name for it is "long non-coding RNA (MDOM_LNC002464)". The record is from RNAcentral. Lineage: Eukaryota; Viridiplantae; Streptophyta; Magnoliopsida; Rosales; Rosaceae.